AUCCACGGAAGUUUUCAGAGAUGAGAAUGUGCCUUCGGGAACCGUGAGACAGGUGCUGCAUGGCUGUCGUCAGCUCGUGUUGUGAAAUGUUGGGUUAAGUCCCGCAACGAGCGCAACCCUUAUCCUUUGUUGCCAGCGGUCCGGCCGGGAACUCAAAGGAGACUGCCAGUGAUAAACUGGAGGAAGGUGGGGAUGACGUCAAGUCAUCAUGGCCCUUACGACCAGGGCUACACACGUGCUACAAUGGCGCAUACAAAGAGAAGCGACCUCGCGAGAGCAAGCGGACCUCAUAAAGUGCGUCGUAGUCCGGAUUGGAGUCUGCAACUCGACUCCAUGAAGUCGGAAUCGCUAGUAAUCGUGGAUCAGAAUGCCACGGUGAAUACGUUCCCGGGCCUUGUACACACCGCCCGUCACACCAUGGGAGUGGGUUGCAAAAGAAGUAGGUAGCUUAACCUUCGGGAGGGCGCUUACCACUUUGUGAUUCAUGACUGGGGUGAAGUCGUAACAAGGUAACC
This 515-nucleotide ribosomal RNA is filed under the name Escherichia coli. Its description in RNAcentral is "bacterial SSU rRNA". It matches the Rfam family "Bacterial small subunit ribosomal RNA", at positions 986 to 1501 of the family's 1533-position model. The record is from RNAcentral. Lineage: Bacteria; Pseudomonadati; Pseudomonadota; Gammaproteobacteria; Enterobacterales; Enterobacteriaceae.